CAGAAAAUUUCAGGACCCGUAUCUUCCUCUGCAACACAUAACCCUAGCUGUGCCUCCACCUAAUUCUUUUUUCUUCCUUUCUAUCUGGAGAGUACUCUAUUUGAGAAGCGAUGGCUACAACGGUUUCGUUUCCGAGGUUUUAAGCUUUCGAUCAGUUAUCCCUUUUUCGAUUCCAUCAUAUUUUCAGUUAAUUUUGACAGCGAGAAUUUAGAAGCUGAAGAUGACUACCAUUGAUUGAUGGAUGUGGAGCUUGGGUUAUAAAGUUCUCAUGAUAUUUAUCAGGAAAAAUGGGUUUAAUUUCGAUUGAAUAACAAGGGAAACGGACAGUUUUCACGAUUAUUAUGAGAGUUCAGGAAAUGGUGAAGAAGAAGACUGAUACACUUUCAAGAAGGUUUUCAUAGCAACCAGGGGCAGAGGGAAUCUGGAAAGGUGUUAGUUUACUCGAAUCACAUGCACCAGUAAACCUCUUUAGGUAAUCACAAAGAGGGUUUAAUGAGUUCGAAUAUAUUGAUAACGGGUAGGUCAGGUAGGUAAGACAGCUUAACCAUCUUAUCAAGGUUGGAAUUGUGGAGAGGAGUAUAUGUGGUCCUCUUUCAAGAAUAGAGGUAUGCCAUUCUCUUGCCUGCAUUGCAAAAUACAAUUUGGCACCGAUUGAAAUUUCAUUUGACAGGGUCGGUGUGCUUUUGAUUUCAAAAGGCACAUAGAUUUCAGCAGGUACCAUCUUUCAUCACAUGUUCCAACUUUUUAAUGAAAACACUGUGUUUUUUAUUUUGUGAGUUAGCGGGUUUACUUCUUUUUUGACUUCUUAGAUAUGUGAACUCUUCUUUUCUCCACUGCUAAGUCGCGGACUCAUCUCAUCUUGCCUCAAACAGUCGGCAUAGGAAUUGAUUUUGUUUCGCUCUUUUCCUAUGGUAAUUGAUUUAUCGGCCAACUUUCCGUGUCAAAUGCUUAAUAGAUUUUCAAAUGCUUCUCAUGAGCCUAUGAAAGGUACUGAAUCACAUACCUUCAUCUGAGUAUCUGAUGUCUGAGAAGGUGAAGAUAAAGGAACUAUAGAUCAAAUUGGCACAACUUAUUUUUCUUCAAAGUUGAGUCCUGGUAUUGGCUAUUCAUGAAGAUCUGGAUUAUAUGGUAUCACAUUGGUUUUAGAUUGUUUGAGCAAUAAGUCUUCGUAAACAGUGAAUUAAGGAUGCGAAAAAAGAAAGAAGUGAAUGGGAGAGGUGUGGUAGCGCUGUGGUAUCCGGUGAACCUGAUGAUGCCCUAAAACUGAAGUCUGAAGCUCUUGGAAUUUUGAGAGAGGAAAUAUGCUAUUGAAGUUAAUGCCAGAUCAAGCCUUGAUAUUUGCUCAAUGCUUUUAUUCUUUUUGCAUUUGAUAAAGAGCUUACAAAUCCAAUUGAUUGUGUUCUGUGUUACUGGUUGCAUAGAUUAAUAUUGCAAUGGACAUUUGAUUCCAACUGGAACUUACGGUGCUCUUCUUCUUUUUA
Long non-coding RNA from Papaver somniferum (opium poppy), 1481 nucleotides. RefSeq lists it as uncharacterized. NCBI's taxonomy places the organism in Eukaryota, Viridiplantae, Streptophyta, Magnoliopsida, Ranunculales, Papaveraceae. The record is from RefSeq and is a predicted model, not a curated record. The transcript has 6 exons.